GAGUUUGAUCAUGGCUCAGAUUGAACGCUGGCGGCAUGCCUUACACAUGCAAGUCGAACGGCAGCACGGGUGCUUGCACCUGGUGGCGAGUGGCGAACGGGUGAGUAAUACAUCGGAACAUGUCCUGUAGUGGGGGAUAGCCCGGCGAAAGCCGGAUUAAUACCGCAUACGAUCUGAGGAUGAAAGCGGGGGACCUUCGGGCCUCGCGCUAUAGGGUUGGCCGAUGGCUGAUUAGCUAGUUGGUGGGGUAAAGGCCUACCAAGGCGACGAUCAGUAGCUGGUCUGAGAGGACGACCAGCCACACUGGGACUGAGACACGGCCCAGACUCCUACGGGAGGCAGCAGUGGGGAAUUUUGGACAAUGGGCGAAAGCCUGAUCCAGCAAUGCCGCGUGAGUGAUGAAGGCCUUAGGGUUGUAAAGCUCUUUUACCCGGGAUGAUAAUGACAGUACCGGGAGAAUAAGCCCCGGCUAACUCCGUGCCAGCAGCCGCGGUAAUACGGAGGGGGCUAGCGUUGUUCGGAAUUACUGGGCGUAAAGCGUGCGCAGGCGGUUUGCUAAGACCGAUGUGAAAUCCCCGGGCUCAACCUGGGAACUGCAUUGGUGACUGGCAGGCUAGAGUAUGGCAGAGGGGGUAGAAUUCCACGUGUAGCAGUGAAAUGCGUAGAGAUGUGGAGGAAUACCGAUGGCGAAG
This 692-nucleotide ribosomal RNA is filed under the name uncultured Burkholderia sp. Its description in RNAcentral is "bacterial SSU rRNA". It matches the Rfam family "Bacterial small subunit ribosomal RNA", at positions 9 to 720 of the family's 1533-position model. The record is from RNAcentral. Lineage: Bacteria; Pseudomonadati; Pseudomonadota; Betaproteobacteria; Burkholderiales; Burkholderiaceae.